GGGCCCGCACAAGCGGUGGAGCAUGUGGUUUAAUUCGAUGAUACGCGAGGAACCUUACCAGGGCUUAAAUGUAAGUUGCAUUAGUUAGAGAUAGCUAUUUCUUCGGACAGAUUACAAGGUGCUGCAUGGUUGUCGUCAGCUCGUGCCGUGAGGUGUCAGGUUAAGUCCUAUAACGAGCGCAACCCCUGUCGUUAGUUGCCAGCAUGUCAUGAUGGGGACUCUAACGAGACUGCCGGUGCAAACCGCGAGGAAGGUGGGGAUGACGUCAAGUCCUCAUGGCCCUUACAGGCUGGGCUACACACGUGCUACAAUGGCGAUGACAGUGGGCAGCGACCCCGCAAGGGUGAGCU
Molecule: ribosomal RNA, 350 nt
Filed under: uncultured bacterium
Lineage: Bacteria
Description: bacterial SSU rRNA
Rfam family: Bacterial small subunit ribosomal RNA
Source: RNAcentral